AGCUUUACACAAUGGCAGUGUCGUAGGCAAUGAGGUUUAUCUGAGGUGUGAGUAUUUCUAACUGAAAAAUUUUCCCACUAUAGAUUAGUCUGUAUUUUCUGGAGUUUCAUAUGAA
This 115-nucleotide small nuclear RNA is filed under the name Catagonus wagneri (Chacoan peccary). RNAcentral's name for it is "U4 spliceosomal RNA (ENSCWAG00000020935.1)". It matches the Rfam family "U4 spliceosomal RNA". Rfam says of the family: U4 small nuclear RNA (U4 snRNA) is a component of the major U2-dependent spliceosome. The structure of U4 snRNA from yeast and human has been reported. The record is from Rfam by way of RNAcentral. Lineage: Eukaryota; Metazoa; Chordata; Mammalia; Artiodactyla; Tayassuidae.